GGAAUAUAACGGAUGUGGACUUCGCCACGCAUUUGAUUAAAUGCCUGUCGCCGAAUAGGUUUCUGUGGAUUUGCCAGCCCGCAGCUGAAGUUUACCUUCACCGCUGUACAAAGACGCGGCACGCACGCGCAAGAAAAUGGGCAAGUGAACUGCCAAAGAAGUGAACAGCCAUGAUUCUGCGCAUGUGCAAGGCAUGGCGGGUUUUGACCUUUAAGAGAGCCAAUUCUGGAAAACAACCAAACUUCUUUGAUUGAAUACUCACAUGCGUUGGAACAUGAUUAGGAGAUUAAGGUAUCUUUCACUUGGCCUUAAUGAGUUAAAUGAAGAAAAAGAAACACCAUGAGUUAUAUUGUUUAAUAAUAAAAUGAAGACCAUAGUAAAACAGCCUCCUUCUUAGCCCAGCAAUUCUUAUUUUUCAAUCAGACUUGAAAGAAGAGAUUGAAGGCAUAGUGGCACUUUGAUAUUUCCAAUGGAGCAGGAUACAAGAAUGAAGAAAUGGCACAGGAUAUACCAGGAAAAGAUUGCCACAUAGCUAGUCCGGUUUGAAUGAAAAGAUAAGUAUGAAAGUUAAAUCAACUGUUCACUCAGCAUAGUACUCAAUAUUAAGAACAGUUGUCUAUGUUCAAAAGUUUGUAGUGAGUGCAAAUUAAGUAUUAGCUAGAAAAUUUGAAAUGUAAAUCCAUCAGAGAUAAUAGAUUUAAAUUGUUCCUGGGCUGGGGAUUUAGCUCAGUGGUUCCACUACCUGCCUACAAGUGCAAGGUCCCGAGUUCGAUCCCUGGUACCAAAAAAAAAAGAAAUAGUAAAAAAAUAAAUUGUUCUUUAAAGUAGAGAUAAAUACAAAGGGGAUUAAUAGGUAUUUUAACCUCCAAAAGUAGCCUUAUUGAAAAAUCAAAGUUUGAGUAGGCAUCGAUACAGAUUAGGGGAGAAAAGAACUAGAAAAUAAUUCGUUGUAAGCAUCUCCAUUCUUCAGGGUGCCUUGAAGAGUCAUGCACUCAGAGAGGAUAAUCACUGCAUUGAAAAUGAUUAUAAUUUAUUUGUUCUACUUGCUACUUACCUGGUGACCAGAGGAGUAUCAUGCUUGGUCAGUCUUGCUAUCCAUUUACAACUAUUUUAUUAUGCUAAGAGCUCUUUCUUAAUAUAUAAUCACCAUACUUACAACGCACUAACAUAAUAAUCCCUUGCUAUAGUCAUACCAGUUUCUUUUGAACUCCUGAUUGUUUCAGAAAAAUGAACCUUCCAUUUGGAUUUAUUUUUCUUUUCUACAUAAUCUCACUAAGUUUCCCAGGCUGGUCGCCAAACUUGGGAUCUUCCUGAAUAGCUGGAAUUACAGCCAUGUGCCAUACAUAUUGCAUUCGGUUUUCAUGAUUCUUAAAAGAGAACUUUUAAAUGGAGUGAUAGUGUUUCCAUUGGAGAGAGAUGAAAUUGGAUAGAUUCUGAUUAUAUAGUCCUUGAUACUUUGGCAAAAAAAAAAUAUAUAUAUAUAUAGGCUGUACUUAGAAAAUCAGGUACAGAAUGUGAAAAUGUGAAUUUUAGGAAGUUUCUAUGACUAAACAUAGAGGCCAGCUGAAAAUGCAUUGUAGCUUAUAAGGUACUUAGGCCUAAUUUAAAAGUAUAAAAUUAACAGUGUCAAACCAGUAGUUGAACUGAAAUCUCAAAACAGAUCAAUUGGUUUUGCUGGCUAAUUGAAUACAAGAAAUGAUUAGCACAGGACAAAAACUGAAUGUGAAGAGAGGAUGACAGUGGGCAAGUUUUCCUAGUUAGGACACAAAAGGGAACAAAAGAAAGUACCUGUGAUAAAAAUGUGAUGGUAAAUAGCAUAUUAUGUUCUUAUCAAAUGGCACUUCUUGACUGAACAGUAUGUUCAUAAUUUAGUCAUGUCUGAGAAGUAAAAAGUCAUCAAAACUGUUUUUAAGCCGGGGAUUUAGGUCAGUGGUUCCGCCGCCUGCCUCGCAAGCACAAGGUCCCGAGUUCAAUCCCCUGUACAAAAAAAAAAAAAAAUGUUUUUAAAUAUAUGUUUGUCUUCUAAGUAGUUUUAACUUUGUAUAUAAG
Molecule: long non-coding RNA, 2049 nt
Filed under: Heterocephalus glaber (naked mole-rat)
Lineage: Eukaryota; Metazoa; Chordata; Mammalia; Rodentia; Bathyergidae
Description: lncRNA (ENSHGLG00100050851.1)
Source: RNAcentral